Molecule: long non-coding RNA, 1079 nt
Organism: Tupaia belangeri chinensis (Chinese tree shrew)
Lineage: Eukaryota; Metazoa; Chordata; Mammalia; Scandentia; Tupaiidae
Exons: 4
Source: RefSeq, a predicted model, not a curated record
GAGACAGACGAGCGGAGACACCUGCAGAGGCGGAGACCACGCUGAGCUGCGAACAGAAGCAAAGGGGGUAACAGACGCGGUUCUCGGCGGCCUGGCCAGGAAAGGCGGCCUAGCCGCGCCAUCCCGGGCACUGCCAGAAUCCAGCCUCCUGGUGCUCUGGAGGCCUGCACGGGGCGCUGCCUGCAGGGGCGCCGCCUCCCCUUCGCCCACCCCGGCUCCGAGGGCUCUUCAGCGCAGCCGCCAGGGCUUCGGUGGCAAAGUCACCUCCUGCCAGCCGGACCACGACGGUCAAGUUACUUCCCGAAGACCCCACUUCUCCCCCUGUCUGAGGGGGUGACAGCGCACAGCGGGGAGGCUCUGGCCUCCGCGUGAGGGCGCGGGGCAGGCACCCGCAGAGGUGCGGGGGCACACAGAGGCUGAGGGUGAGGGGACACUGAACCGAUUGCAGCAGAGCCUGAUCCAGGGUCAGGGAAAGGCCAGGUCGACAGGAGCACACAGGAAGACUUCCUGGAAGAGGCGACAUCAGAGUCCUGGCUCAGUGUCUUGAGCCUCCGCUCUAAAGCGGGGCGGAGCCUCCCUGCCACAGGCGCGUGUGCGAGUGAACCACGACUGGCGGUUUUCUGCGCCUCCCUGGACUCACCCUCUGGGCACGUGGUCUAGCGUUCUCUCCUCGUGACCCGGAGCCACCGAGAGCAGGAUCUCGAGUUGAAGGACGAAACUCCAAUGGAAGGGUCCCAACAUCUUCCACUGACCUGAAAUCUUGAGAUCACCCUUGAGUCCUCUUUUCUGUCAAAUCCCACAUCGAAUCCAUCAGCAAAUCUUGCUGGCUCUGCUCACCGACACUCCUCGUGCUCACUCCAGUCCUGGCCGGCAUCACGUUCCUUGCUUCGCUAACAACCUCUCCCCACAGUUACUCUUCACGCAGCAGCCACGGCACCUCUGCUCCAAACCCUCGAGAGGCCACGUCCUUAGAAGGACCUACAAGGUCCUGCUCAUCUGGGCCCAGCUUGCCCCGGCCACCUCCCCGCCACACCGGCCCCUCUGCACGCCUCCAGCAGCCCAUGCGUGUUCCCGCUGUU